AGCUUUAUAUAUUCGCUUUAAGUUUAUCGUUUCACCAAUUAUUCUUUCCUAUUCCAGAUGUUUAAGUUAUUAAAUCCUAAAUGAUGGUAUCAUAUUAAUAGCCGCAAACAGUUUAAAACCAUCCGUUAAUAAACAAAUCAAAAGGGAUGCGUUGUCUAAUGCGGCAACAAUAAAAGAAAAUUAACUGUCAUAGAAGCUUGGCGGUUAUAAAUAUUU
Molecule: non-coding RNA, 216 nt
Organism: Ciona intestinalis (vase tunicate)
Lineage: Eukaryota; Metazoa; Chordata; Ascidiacea; Phlebobranchia; Cionidae
Source: RefSeq, a predicted model, not a curated record